GUUAGCAGCAGUUAUACCCUAGAGAUGGGAGUAACCCACUGCAGUUGCUGCCCCCUGGUUUUUGACCGAGAUCAGUGGCUAUCAUCAGGGAUCGAGCUGUGGCCUUUAAGAGACAAACUCACAGUUCCCGCGAGGGAUGUGGCUGAUUCCUAUCCAGGAGCUGUAUGCUUAUCUUGAGUUCUCCCAUUCACCUCCCCCCACCGGUGAGGAAUAUCCCGG
Molecule: non-coding RNA, 219 nt
Organism: Pelobates cultripes (western spadefoot toad)
Lineage: Eukaryota; Metazoa; Chordata; Amphibia; Anura; Pelobatidae
Source: the annotation of a GenBank genome assembly